This 497-nucleotide ribosomal RNA is filed under the name uncultured bacterium. RNAcentral describes it as "partial 16S ribosomal RNA". It matches the Rfam family "Bacterial small subunit ribosomal RNA", at positions 28 to 507 of the family's 1533-position model. The record is from RNAcentral.
GACGAACGCUGGCGGCGUGCCUAAUACAUGCAAGUAGAACGCUGAAGGAAGGAGCUUGCUCUUUCUGGAUGAGUUGCGAACGGGUGAGUAACGCGUAGGUAACCUGCCUGGUAGCGGGGGAUAACUAUUGGAAACGAUAGCUAAUACCGCAUAAAAUUGAUUAUUGCAUGAUAGUCAAUUAAAAGGUGCAACUGCACCACUACCAGAUGGACCUGCGUUGUAUUAGCUAGUUGGUGGGGUAACGGCUCACCAAGGCGACGAUACAUAGCCGACCUGAGAGGGUGGACGGCCACACUGGGACUGAGACACGGCCCAGACUCCUACGGGAGGCAGCAGUAGGGAAUCUUCGGCAAUGGACGGAAGUCUGACCGAGCAACGCCGCGUGAGUGAAGAAGGUUUUCGGAUCGUAAAGCUCUGUUGUAAGAGAAGAACGAGUGUGAGAGUGGAAAGUUCACACUGUGACGGUAUCUUACCAGAAAGGGACGGCUAACUACGUG